RNAcentral lists this ribosomal RNA (484 nucleotides) under uncultured bacterium. RNAcentral describes it as "partial 16S ribosomal RNA". It matches the Rfam family "Bacterial small subunit ribosomal RNA", at positions 29 to 523 of the family's 1533-position model. The record is from RNAcentral.
AGUGAACGCUGGCGGCGUGCUUAACACAUGCAAGUCGAACGAGAACGGGCUAUAGCUUGCUAUAGUUGUCAGCUAAGUGGCGCACGGGUGAGUAAUGUAUAGGUAAUAUGCCUCUUACUAAGGGAUAACAAAUGGAAACGUUUGCUAAUACCUUAUACUCCUUAUUAACAGAAGUUAAUAAGGGAAAGAUUUAUUGGUAAGAGAUUAGCCUGUAUUGUAUCAGUUAGUUGGUGGGGUAAUGGCUUACCAAGACUAUGACACAUAACUGGUUUGGGAGGAUGGUCAGUCACACUGGAACUGAGACACGGUCCAGACUCCUACGGGAGGCAGCAGUGGGGAAUAUUGCACAAUGGACGAAAGUCUGAUGCAGCAACGCCGCGUGGAGGAUGACACAUUUCGGUGCGUAAACUCCUUUUAUAUGAGAAGAUGAUGACGGUAUUAUAUGAAUAAGCACCGGCUAACUCCGUGCCAGCCGCCGCAGUAA